Agelaius phoeniceus (red-winged blackbird) is the source of this 1035-nucleotide non-coding RNA. The record is from RefSeq and is a predicted model, not a curated record. Lineage: Eukaryota; Metazoa; Chordata; Aves; Passeriformes; Icteridae.
AGACCGACCCCGACCGACAGACAGACCCCGACCGACCGACAGACAGACAGACAGACAGACCGACCACCCCGCCGGGGGCAGCGGGACACUGGCGUGGGAGGAAAAAGGAAUGGCGGCGGGGAAAGGGCGUACCCCGCAGGGGCGCUGUGAGGGCACCUCUCGGGCGGUGUGAGGUGCGCUUGUCCUCCCUGCGGAGCAGCGAGAGGGGCUGGCGUGCCCUCAGAGGUGGCACGAGGCGGGAAUGUCUGUGUCUGUGUGUGUAUCUGUGUGUGUGUCUGUUCCAGGACCGGUGUGAGGCGGGAAUGGACCCUCCUGUUGGGGCGGUGUGAGGCGGGAAUGGCUCUUCCCGUUAGGGGUGGCGCGAGGCGGGAAUGGCUCCUCCCUUUAGGGGCGUUGUGAGGCGAGAAUGGCCGUCUCCUCUCCUCAGGUGCGGCGUGAGGCGGGAAUGGCUUCUCCUCCCCUCAGGAGCGGCGUGAGGCGGGAAUGGCUUCUCCUCUCCUCAGGCUCAGCAUGUCCCUGCCAGCAAACAGGUGUGGAAGGCCCCCCGUGUUGUCUUUUCUGGAAAAGAGAAAGAAGAGUCUUGAUAGAAGAAGGGGGAAAACAAGGAUUUAUGUGGGAGAUCACAUUGACCGGUAGCUGACGCUCAAGGAAAAGUUGGAUUUCAGAAAUGACUCAGAAGUUGUAGGGAUUUACUUUACUGGAUAUUAGGUGAACGAGUUGGGGUUUGGAAAGCAAUUCUAUGGCAGAGAAGAAUCCUUGGAAGUUGGUCAGGAGCAAAUAAACACCAGUGCUGAUGAAGCUGAAAAAUUCAGAGGUGUGGCACUGCACUUCCCAUUGAAGGGAGCAGAUGCAGGGUGAGCAGCAAGAAGAAAAUCCAGCUCUUGCAUAACAAUACAGGGGCAAUUUUUACCCCAUUUUGAUUUUGCUAUGGGGAUAUUGUGAACUGUAAAGAAUUACUGUAAGUUGUGUGAAAUUCUGUGUUGUGUUGAACAGCACAUUAAACUCAAUUACAUAAAGUUUUCUUGUGUUAUGUCA